Molecule: long non-coding RNA, 793 nt
Organism: Cucumis melo (muskmelon)
Lineage: Eukaryota; Viridiplantae; Streptophyta; Magnoliopsida; Cucurbitales; Cucurbitaceae
Exons: 5
Source: RefSeq, a predicted model, not a curated record
ACCCUCACGCAAAAUCAGUGGUUCGAACGCCGUGUGAUUGGAUUUUUCUUUCAAUUUUUCCUCUCUAAAUGAAUUUCCUCAUUUCUAACAGAUCCAUUUGCUUUUCCUAUCUUCAUUUCCCAGCUCCCAAUAUUCUAUUUCACCGGCAAAAUCCAAAUCUCAUAAUCCAUUACUAGAAGAGAUGCCUUCCAAAAACAUCCAUAUUCUGUUCCACCGCAGAUUACAAUCUGACGAACUCCGCAAGAUACGGCGGCUGGGAUGAUAAUGGACUUGAUCAAAACAAGAAACAUCACCCAUUAGAUUUGAAUACACUGAAAGGUCUUGUGCAAUUAUAGAAGUGCAGAAACAUUCUCAAUAAUUCAACAAUCACUUUCACUUGGAUGCUUUCCAAGAGUAAAAGUGGUUCAUACAUCAGAUAAGUACGAAGGGCAAGUUUAUGUUCUAGAGAUAAAUAUGGAAUAGCUGUGGUUUUUGUGAUGACACUCACAUCCUCUUUCCUAGUACUCAUAAUGAUUACCUAAAGAUGGAUUACAUUAACUUGCAACUUUUCAGACCCAUCUAGGACAGACAAAGCAUGGAGUUAAGGUUUUGCCAGAAUCCAUUCGAGCAGCGAAGCCAUAUUUGUGGCAAUUCAUUGAUGUAUAAGCAUUUUUGUAGGUUUGGUAGAAAAAUUUCUGAUAUAAAUGUAGUUAUUUAAAUAGUUUGUUCGUAACAAACCAUAUAUGUACCAACACUUAAAGCGAUAUUAUAAAGUGUAUGUUUCUUUAUAUUAAAGUGUUCACCGUUUUUUUCA